UCAAUUGCGUGGCCAUCAUACCCUUUACC
RNAcentral lists this non-coding RNA (29 nucleotides) under Rattus norvegicus (Norway rat). The record is from RNAcentral. Lineage: Eukaryota; Metazoa; Chordata; Mammalia; Rodentia; Muridae.